GGCAAGACGGAAAGACCCCGUGAACCUUUACUAUAGCUUGACACUGAACAUUGAGCCUUGAUGUGUAGGAUAGGUGGGAGGCUUUGAAGUGUGGACGCCAGUCUGCAUGGAGCCGACCUUGAAAUACCACCCUUUAAUGUUUGAUGUUCUAACGUGGACCCGUAAUCCGGGUUGCGGACAGUGUCUGGUGGGUAGUUUGACUGGGGCGGUCUCCUCCUAAAGAGUAACGGAGGAGCACGAAGGUUGGCUAAUCCUGGUCGGACAUCAGGAGGUUAGUGCAAUGGCAUAAGCCAGCUUGACUGCGAGCGUGACGGCGCGAGCAGGUGCGAAAGCAGGUCAUAGUGAUCCGGUGGUUCUGAAUGGAAGGGCCAUCGCUCAACGGAUAAAAGGUACUCCGGGGAUAACAGGCUGAUACCGCCCAAGAGUUCAUAUCGACGGCGGUGUUUGGCACCUCGAUGUCGGCUCAUCACAUCCUGGGGCUGAAGUAGGUCCCAAGGGUAUGGCUGUUCGCCAUUUAAAGUGGUACGCGAGCUGGGUUUAGAACGUCGUGAGACAGUUCGGUCCCUAUCUGCCGUGGGCGCUGGAGAACUGAGGGGGGCUGCUCCUAGUACGAGAGGACCGGAGUGGACGCAUCACUGGUGUUCGGGUUGUCAUGCCAAUGGCACUGCCCGGUAGCUAAAUGCGGAAGAGAUAAGUGCUGAAAGCAUCUAAGCACGAAACUUGCCCCGA
RNAcentral lists this ribosomal RNA (729 nucleotides) under Salmonella enterica. RNAcentral's name for it is "partial 23S ribosomal RNA". It matches the Rfam family "Bacterial large subunit ribosomal RNA", at positions 2074 to 2802 of the family's 2925-position model. The record is from RNAcentral. Lineage: Bacteria; Pseudomonadati; Pseudomonadota; Gammaproteobacteria; Enterobacterales; Enterobacteriaceae. RNAcentral also lists the same sequence under 1 other name.